Molecule: long non-coding RNA, 488 nt
Filed under: Manihot esculenta (cassava)
Lineage: Eukaryota; Viridiplantae; Streptophyta; Magnoliopsida; Malpighiales; Euphorbiaceae
Description: long non-coding RNA (MESC_LNC011515)
Source: RNAcentral
UUGUUUUUUUAUUGCAAAAUAAUUAUUUGUUAGUUUGAAUAAUUUAAGUCCGUAAUUGCUUGAGUUAUUCUUACAUGAGAACACUUGGGAUAAAAUCCAAGGAAAUUGCAUGAUCUAGCGUUAUCUUCAUACGUUUGGGUAGCUAGGAUUGGAUCUCUCUAUUUCUUAAUGCAAUUGACAAUUGUUUUGAUGCCUAAGGCCCAAGAAUGUUCCUUGGCAAUUUGUUGAUUAGUAAUUAAUUAGAGGACGUUCCCUAAUUGGUUUAAUCAUAAGGAGAGAUAAUGGUGGUGAGAAGCGUCUUCCAUCUCCAUAAACUAAUCUAUUGAAUCAACCCAAAAGAACAAAGUGUCUGUGAUUAAUCCCAACGACUAAAGUGGAUCCAAUACUUCAACUAGAGCUUUCUUAUUAUUUAUUUCUCUUUUAUUUUAUUAUUCGCUUAUUUUAAUUGCUUUUAGUAGUUUGUUAAUCAAAUCAAUUUCAAACCCCCC